GCCAGCAGCCAUAUCACCCUGCGACUCACAACUGGCAGCCCACUGAAGCUAAGCAGGCGUGAACCUGGUCAGUACCUGGAUGGGAGACCUCCUGGGAAAAAAUAAGGUUGCUGCUGGAA
This 119-nucleotide ribosomal RNA is filed under the name Lepisosteus oculatus (spotted gar). Lineage: Eukaryota; Metazoa; Chordata; Actinopteri; Semionotiformes; Lepisosteidae. The record is from RNAcentral.